UGAAAAGACUCACCACGAAAGGAUUACACUUGGCCUAACAUCCUUAAAUGCCAUUCAUGCAAAAACAUUUUGACAGCAAAAAACAAAUUCCACAAGGAUUUGGUUUCUACUCCUCUCCAUUGUCACUCCCAGGUUUUUAAACACUCUUUCACUGCCCUGUAGUCGAGCCUCUGGAGAGCAGUAGAAGUGGCGGUUGACAGCAAAACUAGAGCAAAGAAGUGUUUCAACAAAUUAACUUAAUUAUAUUAAUACAAUAUGUGCAGCCUGAAUGAAGAAAGAAAGUCAUACAGAUUUGGAACAUCAUGAGGGUUCCCAUUGUUUCCGGCCGCAUCGUUGUCCCACCUCCCACACCGAGAGUGUGUCCGUCCUGGAGCGUUCCAAAACGGAUGACAUCAACCCCUCUCCUGAUCGACAGUGCAAGCGAGGUAAAGGGUCACAUGGCAGCAUCACUGAGUCUAUUGUGCUGCAGUGGGAAAGCCACACGGACUGUAAUGAGCUGGAGGGCUUGGCUGUAAUCUGCCAACACUGCUGCAAUAUAAAUCACAGCAUAAAAAAAACCCUCUAUAAUAGCACAUUGUUCGAGGCCAGUAAAAGCUGGGGUCCAAGGCACUAUUUUCACGUUUGGAAUGAAAGUGCAUUUUUGGCGCAUUGUACUGGGCUUGUAAAAAACGCUCUUUUCACGAGUCAGGUGAGUUUACGCAGCAAGAGUAUGCUUUCAUGUUGCAAAGACAUAGUGAGUCUUUCCAGCAUAGUGAGAGCUUUAUAACCUGCUGAUGCACACAUAUCUUUUUCUCCACCGUCACGGUUCCUGGAAAAAGCUCGAACAUUCCUGGUCUCCUUCGCGCCGAGCACCCUUCUCUGCUUCCAACUCACUAGGCAUCCUGGGCCCUCUCCAUUUCACCUGGGAUCAUCUGAGCCCCCUGGAAUGUGGGAUUAAUGGCCCUCUACGUUUAAGAUAUCCGAGAUGGCACGUUCUCUUAUCAGUAACACCCAUUCAUCAUGAUGUGAGUGGUCAGAAGCACGUUAGGAAGUAGAUUGUAGAAAUCGCUUAUUAAAAAAGUCACCACCGAAUUAGAAGAGGGAGCCAUUUCAUUUUGUAGAUGUAGCACUAGUCCAAAAUGACGAGGGGCCGAUGGGAUUAGCAAGCUAAGCAAAACAGAAAUUGAUGCAUUUCAAUAUGAUAGCUCACAUUUUAACAGACCGUCACUGCCAAGAGGGAAUUAAUAAGCACUCUUGCAGCCUCAUGCAAUCUGUGCGCAAGGCUGGCAUUUUCCAGCAACACAGUGAGCGAACGCAAGACAUAAAUUACAGCAUGAUUAAAGACCCUCCUGAGAGAUGUUUAUGUAUUUUAUGCAUGGUUAUGGUCAGCUUCAUCCCCGUUUAUGCGGAUGUGAUUGCCUUUAAUUAUUGAGAGCCAUCUGAUAAUGCCAGAUGACUGCACCUCUUCUUUUAAAUUAUGAUGUAGACGUCACGUUGAUACGGCAUUAAAAUAAAUAUAGGUUAUCUUUUAGUUCGGUAAUAGCACAUUUCAGGCUGCCGCGGUGCGUUUGCUCUCUCUAUGAGACACGCUUUUGAGCAUCUCAAAAGUACAAAAUAUACGGGUAAACCUUGUCGGCGCUCCAGUCGUCUGUGGUGACACGCGUCAUUACGAGGUUGCGGUCUGUGUGGAAGCGCUGAUUGGUGGAUACCGAGGGUGUGCGCGCAUCAUGCGCUGGCUUUCUUACAGACCCCGAAUCCCUGAUUCAGUCCAUGCU
This is a long non-coding RNA of Rhinichthys klamathensis goyatoka, 1754 nucleotides long. RefSeq lists it as uncharacterized. The transcript has 3 exons. The record is from RefSeq and is a predicted model, not a curated record. NCBI's taxonomy places the organism in Eukaryota, Metazoa, Chordata, Actinopteri, Cypriniformes, Leuciscidae.